GGUUUUUUGUUUUAAAGCAGCUGUUUAGCUACCUGGUGUGAUAUUUUGGUGUUUCACACACACUCUCCUGGGGAUUCAGUGAAGUAAUGGCAAGUGGGGACAGCUAACUGCCUUUCUUUUGAGCUCUACGCAAAAGGUUCAACAGAAAAAGAGGGACAUUUCAGACCUGAAUAGAAAAUGAAGCAUUCACGGGCAGUACUGAACAGAUCUUGAAGAAAAAGGCAAAAAGUGACAAUAACCAUCGUUUUCCAACUUUAUCUGUUUGAGUCAUGAGCAAGAUGUGGUCAAACAUCUUGACUGACCACUUUGUAUAGAACCCAGAACAACCAGCUCAGGGAUGGAACCACUCAUGGGGCUAUCAAUCACUAAUCAAGAAAAUGCCUCAUAAGCGUGCUUACAUUCUGAUCUUAUGAAGAUAUUUUCUAAAUUGACGUCCCUUACUCUCAGAUGACUUCAGUUUGUGUCAAGUUGACAAAAAACCA
Long non-coding RNA from Mus musculus (house mouse), 482 nucleotides. RefSeq annotates it as predicted gene, 54209. Lineage: Eukaryota; Metazoa; Chordata; Mammalia; Rodentia; Muridae. The transcript is spliced from 3 exons. The record is from RefSeq and is a predicted model, not a curated record.